RNAcentral lists this ribosomal RNA (413 nucleotides) under uncultured bacterium. Its description in RNAcentral is "bacterial SSU rRNA". It matches the Rfam family "Bacterial small subunit ribosomal RNA", at positions 28 to 487 of the family's 1533-position model. The record is from RNAcentral.
GAUGAACGCUGGCGGCGUGCCUAAUACAUGCAAGUCGAACGAAGCCUUCGGGCUUAGUGGCGGACGGGUGAGUAACACGUUGGUACCUACCCGAAGUGGGGAAUAACUGGCCGAAAGGUCGGCUAAUACCGCAUAAUACCGCAAGGUUAAAGCAGUAAUGCGCUUCGGGAGGGCCUGCGUCCCAUUAGCUUGUUGGUAGUGUAAUGGACUACCAAGGCGACGAUGGGUAGCUGGAUCGAGAGGUUGACCAGCCACACUGGGACUGAGAUACGGCCCAGACUCCUACGGGAGGCAGCAGUAAGGAAUCUUCCACAAUGGACGAAAGUCUGAUGGAGCAACGCCGCGUGCAGGAUGACGGUCUUCGGAUUGUAAACUGCUUUUAUAUGGGAAGAUUAUGACGGUACCAUAUGAAU